GGCAAACCAGCUUCAGAAGCCGUGGCUUUGAGACAGGCAACAGCUGAGUUUCCUGACCGGUCAGCAGCUUUCCAAGAUGUUGAACUCAAAAGUGCUGAGCUCCAGGAUACUGCUCCUCUUCUGGUCACGAGCAUCUCCUCGUCCACUCAGCCCAGCCAGCACGCCACACGAGUCCGGCUAGACUGAGCAGCCCUGUUGGCACAGCAGCCUCGGGUUAACCGCCGGCAUAAUGGCCUUUCCACACCAAGCCUCACUAAAGCGUUCCCAGUUCAAACAGAAAGCGAAGCCCUGCCAGUCAUUACUCCUGCGCGAGAUGACAAGCAAGCAUCAAAAGAAAUGGGUUUGGCUCGGGGGCAGCGCAACGCUGUGCACAGUCCGUCGCCAUGGCAACUGCAGUGCCCGUGACAAGCAUUCUCUUCUGCCCGUUUAAUUUUACAUGUGAGGAGAGUGAGACAUGGGAUGGCUAAGUGGCUGCCCCAGUGCUGUGACCUAAUACUUGUCCCCGUGCCAUUGUGCCGUUGUCAUGGCCAGGUUAAAGAAUGGCUCCUACCGAUGGCCUAUCAGUACAUUAAAUGCCACUGGGUUCCCACAGCAUUUUCCACUUUAAUUCUGCAUUUAGAGAGAAAAACACCAUUGACAG
This is a long non-coding RNA of Mastomys coucha (southern multimammate mouse), 640 nucleotides long. RefSeq lists it as uncharacterized. The transcript has 2 exons. The record is from RefSeq and is a predicted model, not a curated record. Lineage: Eukaryota; Metazoa; Chordata; Mammalia; Rodentia; Muridae.